This 981-nucleotide ribosomal RNA is filed under the name uncultured Flavobacteriaceae bacterium. RNAcentral's name for it is "bacterial SSU rRNA". It matches the Rfam family "Bacterial small subunit ribosomal RNA", at positions 509 to 1503 of the family's 1533-position model. Lineage: Bacteria; Pseudomonadati; Bacteroidota; Flavobacteriia; Flavobacteriales; Flavobacteriaceae. The record is from RNAcentral.
CAGCAGCCGCGGUAAUACGGAGGGUGCAAGCGUUAUCCGGAUUUAUUGGGUUUAAAGGGUCCGUAGGCGGGCUUAUAAGUCAGUGGUGAAAGCCGGCAGCUUAACUGUCGAACUGCCAUUGAUACUGUAAGUCUUGAGUAUAUUUGAGGUAGCUGGAAUAAGUAGUGUAGCGGUGAAAUGCAUAGAUAUUACUUAGAACACCAAUUGCGAAGGCAGGUUACCAAGUUAUAACUGACGCUGAUGGACGAAAGCGUGGGGAGCGAACAGGAUUAGAUACCCUGGUAGUCCACGCUGUAAACGAUGCUAACUCGUUUUUGGGGCAUUAAGCUUCAGAGACCAAGCGAAAGUGAUAAGUUAGCCACCUGGGGAGUACGUUCGCAAGAAUGAAACUCAAAGGAAUUGACGGGGGCCCGCACAAGCGGUGGAUUAUGUGGUUUAAUUCGAUGAUACGCGAGGAACCUUACCAAGACUUAAAUGGGAAUUGACAGACGCAGAAAUGUGUUUUUCUUCGGACAAUUUUCAAGGUGCUGCAUGGUUGUCGUCAGCUCGUGCCGUGAGGUGUUAGGUUAAGUCCUGCAACGAGCGCAACCCCUGCCAAUAGUUGCCAUCAUUCAGUUGGGGACUCUAUUGGGACUGCCUACGCAAGUAGCGAGGAAGGUGGGGAUGACGUCAAAUCAUCACGGCCCUUACGUCUUGGGCCACACACGUAAUACAAUGGCCGGUACAGAGGGCAGCUACACUGCGAAGUGAUGCGAAUCUCGAAAGCCGGUCUCAGUUCGGAUUGGAGUCUGCAACUCGACUCUAUGAAGCUGGAAUCGCUAGUAAUCGCGCAUCAGCCAUGGCGCGGUGAAUACGUUCCCGGGCCUUGUACACACCGCCCGUCAAGCCAUGGAAGUUUGGGGUACCUGAAGUCGGUGACCGUAAAAGGAGCUGCCUAGGGUAAAACAAGUAACUAGGGCUAAGUCGUAACAAGGUAGCCGU